RNAcentral lists this long non-coding RNA (488 nucleotides) under Homo sapiens (human). RNAcentral describes it as "non-protein coding lnc-LEFTY1-4:1". Lineage: Eukaryota; Metazoa; Chordata; Mammalia; Primates; Hominidae. The record is from RNAcentral.
CAUCUGAGAGAAUAAUUGUUCCCUCUGAGCUCUUGGGGACCUAAGAUUUGGUCUUUCUGUAGUUGAAGGUCAGUGCAGAGAACUUGCCCCCAGGCUAGUCUCUUGGUCUGCCUAAAUCUGACCUUCUGACCCACCUAAGCCACGAGCACUGGGAGACAAGCCUCGAGACCUGUAUCCCCUCUCCCGCUGCAGGAAGAACCUCUCUAUCCAGGGCCUCCGCUGGUGGCUACAGUGGCUGGGCAUCAACUUCACCCUCUUCCUGGGGCUAUUUUUCCUGACCACACCCUCCAUCAUCCUGUCCACCAUGGACAAGUUUAAUGUCACCAAACCCAUCCAUGCGCUGAAUAACCCGAUCAUCAGCCAGUUCUUCCCCACCCUCCUGCUCUGGUCCUUCUCGGCCCUGCUCCCCUCCAUUGUCUACUACUCUACACUGCUGGAGUCUCACUGGACCAAGUCGGGGGAAAACCAGAUCAUGAUGACCAAAGUCU